Molecule: ribosomal RNA, 460 nt
Filed under: uncultured bacterium
Lineage: Bacteria
Description: partial 16S ribosomal RNA
Rfam family: Bacterial small subunit ribosomal RNA
Source: RNAcentral
CCUACGGGUGGCAGCAGUGAGGAAUAUUGGUCAAUGGGCGGGAGCCUGAACCAGCCAAGCCGCGUGAAGGAAGAAGGCGCCAGGCGUCGUAAACUUCUUUUGUCGGGGAACAAAGGGCGCCACGCGUGGCGUUGUGAGUGUACCCGAAGAAAAAGCAUCGGCUAACUCCGUGCCAGCAGCCGCGGUAAUACGGAGGAUCCAAGCGUUAUCCGGAUUUAUUGGGUUUAAAGGGUGCGUAGGCGGUUUGAUAAGUUAGAGGUGAAAUACCGGUGCUCAACACCGGAACUGCCUCUAAUACUGUUGAACUAGAGAGUAGUUGCGGUAGGCGGAAUGUAUGGUGUAGCGGUGAAAUGCUUAGAGAUCAUACAGAACUCCGAUUGCGAAGGCAGCUUACUAAACUGCCACUGACAUUGAUGCUCGAAAGUGUGGGUAUCAAACAGGAUUAGAUACCCCUGUAGUC